Molecule: microRNA precursor, 84 nt
Filed under: Bombyx mori (domestic silkworm)
Lineage: Eukaryota; Metazoa; Arthropoda; Insecta; Lepidoptera; Bombycidae
Description: mir-2807 microRNA precursor family
Rfam family: mir-2807 microRNA precursor family
Source: Rfam by way of RNAcentral
AAAAAAAAAAAUUGUUUGGAGUUGGAACGUUUGCCUACGUUGGUCGCUAGGGGCGCUGUUCCAUAUCCAUACAAAUUUGAGUUA